UCAGUGCUGCAGCUAACGCAUUAAGCACUCCGCCUGGGGAGUACGACCGCAAGGUUGAAACUCAAAGGAAUUGACGGGGGCCCGCACAAGCGGUGGAGCAUGUGGUUUAAUUCGAAGCAACGCGAAGAACCUUACCAGGUCUUGACAUCCUUUGACCACUCUAGAGAUAGAGCUUCCCCUUCGGGGGCAAAGUGACAGGUGGUGCAUGGUUGUCGUCAGCUCGUGUCGUGAGAUGUUGGGUUAAGUCCCGCAACGAGCGCAACCCUUAUUGUUAGUUGCCAUCAUUNAGUUGGGCACUCUAGCAAGACUGCCGGUGACAAACCGGAGGAAGGUGGGGAUGACGUCAAAUCAUCAUGCCCCUUAUGACCUGGGCUACACACGUGCUACAAUGGGAAGUACAACGAGUUGCGAAGUCGCGAGGCUAAGCUAAUCUCUUAAAGCUUCUCUCAGUUCG
This 454-nucleotide ribosomal RNA is filed under the name Enterococcus faecium. RNAcentral's name for it is "bacterial SSU rRNA". It matches the Rfam family "Bacterial small subunit ribosomal RNA", at positions 840 to 1295 of the family's 1533-position model. The record is from RNAcentral. Lineage: Bacteria; Bacillati; Bacillota; Bacilli; Lactobacillales; Enterococcaceae.